RNAcentral lists this small RNA (588 nucleotides) under Histoplasma ohiense. Its description in RNAcentral is "hypothetical lncRNA". The record is from RNAcentral. Lineage: Eukaryota; Fungi; Ascomycota; Eurotiomycetes; Onygenales; Ajellomycetaceae.
GGAUGAUACGAUGAUAGUGAGGCUCUCGGGUUCUUGGAAUAACAUUUGGGGCUGCAGGGACUGGAGGGGAAGGUUGUGCAUGGGUUCUUUGGUUGUGAGGAAGAUGAAGGUCUCCGGGUCGAGGAUUGGGUCGAGACAGGCGAGGAGAGAAAUUCCUUUCGCCUUGUAGGCUCAUGACGGAUGGUACUUUGAUCUCCAAUUUCGUGUAAAGAUGUGUGAGGCCAAUAUAUUCGUUUCUUGUAUGUGGGAAGGUACUGUACCUUUGAUAUUACAAGCGUGCCUUUUGAAAAUACAUGGGAAAGGCUGUGUCAGCUACCAGGCUAACCUAAACCCGCAAGUAAGAGUUACAUAGUCAUUAGCUCUUUUUCUGUGACGGAAUCAUGCCUCGUUCAAAUUAGCAUUCAUAUAUCAUACAGCGAGAUACGUUUCAGACAGGUGGUGCUUUAUUUAUUGUACUGUUUGACAAAGUUAUACCAGGUUUUAACAGAACAAGGAGAGAAAAAAUGGUAAAAGGCUUACGAAGCCCUAUGGCCGUAUCUUCUUUGCUUGUCGACUCCGAAGAGAAUGAUAUAGAUACCAGAAUAAAAA